GGAGGUGUGGCCGAGCGGUUUAAGGCACUGGUCUUGAAAACCAGCGAAGGUUUAUCCCUUCCGUGAGUUCGAAUCUCACCGCCUCCGCCA
Molecule: transfer RNA, 90 nt
Filed under: Oxalobacteraceae bacterium
Lineage: Bacteria; Pseudomonadati; Pseudomonadota; Betaproteobacteria; Burkholderiales; Oxalobacteraceae
Description: tRNA-Ser
Rfam family: tRNA
About the family: Transfer RNA (tRNA) molecules are approximately 80 nucleotides in length. Their secondary structure includes four short double-helical elements and three loops (D, anti-codon, and T loops).
Source: RNAcentral